UCCCCGUUAUCCUGGGCAGUCCUUCCAGAGUUCCCGGCAUGACCCGUUGGCAACUGGAAGCAGGGGUUGCGCUCGUUGCGGGACUUAACCCAACACCUCACGACACGAGCUGACGACAGCCAUGCAGCACCUGUGCACGCUGGGAUUGCUCCCUCGUCGGGCUUUCACCCUUCUACUACGUGCAUGUCAAGGCCAGGUAAGGUUCUUCGCGUUGCAUCGAAUUAAGCCACAUACUCCACCGCUUGUGCAGGCCCCCGUCAAUUUCUUUGAGUUUCAGCCUUGCGGCCGUACUCCCCAGGCGGGGCACUUAAUGCGUUAGCGCCGGCACCCAGGGGGUCGCUCCCCCAGGCACCUAGUGCCCAUCGUUUACGGCGUGGACUAC
This 382-nucleotide unclassified non-coding RNA is filed under the name uncultured bacterium. Its description in RNAcentral is "contains 16S-23S intergenic spacer region". The record is from RNAcentral.